CCGGAGCUAAUACCGAUAAUAUAUUGAACCGCAUGGUUCAAUAGUGAAAGACGGUUUUGCUGUCACUUAUAGANGGAUCCGCGCCGCAUUAGCUAGUUGGUAAGGUAACGGCUUACCAAGGCAACGAUGCGUAGCCGACCUGAGAGGGUGAUCGGCCACACUGGAACUGAGACACGGUCCAGACUCCUACGGGAGGCAGCAGGC
RNAcentral lists this ribosomal RNA (204 nucleotides) under uncultured Staphylococcus sp. RNAcentral describes it as "partial 16S ribosomal RNA". It matches the Rfam family "Bacterial small subunit ribosomal RNA", at positions 157 to 354 of the family's 1533-position model. Lineage: Bacteria; Bacillati; Bacillota; Bacilli; Caryophanales; Staphylococcaceae. The record is from RNAcentral.